UUUUUAGUGUAAGUAUGUUCCAUGAAAUAUUUGGGAUAUACUUACACUCAAA
Felis catus (domestic cat) is the source of this 52-nucleotide microRNA precursor. It matches the Rfam family "mir-1302 microRNA precursor family". NCBI's taxonomy places the organism in Eukaryota, Metazoa, Chordata, Mammalia, Carnivora, Felidae. The record is from Rfam.